CCUACGGGCGGCAGCAGUGAGGAAUAUUGGUCAAUGGGCGAGAGCCUGAACCAGCCAAGUCGCGUGAAGGAGUACUGCCCUAUGGGUUGUAAACCUCUUUUGUCGGGGAGCAAAAGCCUGACGUGUCCGGCUGUGAGAGUACCCGAAGAAAAAGCAUCGGCUAACUCCGUGCCAGCAGCCGCGGUAAUACGGAGGAUGCGAGCGUUAUCCGGAUUUAUUGGGUUUAAAGGGUGCGCAGGCGGAUUUUUAAGUCAGCGGUAAAAUCGUGGGGCUCAACCCCAUCCAGCCGUUGAAACUGGGGAUCUAGAGUGUGCGAGAGGUAUGCGGAAUGCGUGGUGUAGCGGUGAAAUGCAUAGAUAUCACGCAGAACCCCGAUUGCGAAGGCAGCAUACCGGUGCACAACUGACGCUCAGGCACGAAAGCGUGGGUAUCGAACAGGAUUAGAUACCCCAGUAGUC
This 458-nucleotide ribosomal RNA is filed under the name uncultured bacterium. RNAcentral describes it as "partial 16S ribosomal RNA". It matches the Rfam family "Bacterial small subunit ribosomal RNA", at positions 338 to 795 of the family's 1533-position model. The record is from RNAcentral.